AUGGGCACUGAACACACAUACUAAAAAUUGGAACAAUACAGAGAAAGUUAGCAUGGCCCAUGUGUGAGGAUGACACGCAGAUAGUCAUGAAGCCUUCCAUAUUAAA
Small nuclear RNA from Suncus etruscus (white-toothed pygmy shrew), 106 nucleotides. The record is from RefSeq and is a predicted model, not a curated record. Lineage: Eukaryota; Metazoa; Chordata; Mammalia; Eulipotyphla; Soricidae.